RNAcentral lists this ribosomal RNA (898 nucleotides) under uncultured bacterium. RNAcentral's name for it is "bacterial SSU rRNA". It matches the Rfam family "Bacterial small subunit ribosomal RNA", at positions 8 to 909 of the family's 1533-position model. The record is from RNAcentral.
AGAGUUUGAUCCUGGCUCAGGAUGAACGCUGGCGGCGUGCUUAACACAUGCAAGUCGAACGGAGCGAUGACACGGAGUCUUCGGACGAAGUGUUAUGGCUUAGUGGCGGACGGGUGAGUAACACGUGAGCAACCUACCUUUUGCAGGGGAAUAACUCUGGGAAACCAGGGCUAAUACCGCAUGACGUGCACGGAAGGCAUCUUUUGUGCAUGAAAGGAUUAUAUCCGGCAGAAGAUGGGCUCGCGUCCGAUUAGGUAGUUGGUGAGGUAAAGGCUCACCAAGCCGACGAUCGGUAGCCGGACUGAGAGGUCGAUCGGCCACAUUGGGACUGAGACACGGCCCAGACUCCUACGGGAGGCAGCAGUGGGGAAUAUUGGGCAAUGGGCGGAAGCCUGACCCAGCGACGCCGCGUGAAGGAGGAAGGCUUUCGAGUUGUAAACUUCUUUGGGGAGGGACGAAGAUGACGGUACCUCCAGAACAAGCCACGGCUAACUACGUGCCAGCAGCCGCGGUAAUACGGAGGAUGCAAGCGUUAUCCGGAUUUAUUGGGUUUAAAGGGUGCGUAGGUGGGCUUAUAAGUCAGCGGUGAAAUCCCCCGGCUCAACCAGGGAAUUGCCGUUGAUACUGUUAGCCUUGAGUACAGUUGAAGUGGGCGGAAUGUAGCAUGUAGCGGUGAGAUGCAUAGAUAUGCUACAGAACACCAAUAGCGAAGGCAGCUCACUAAGUUGUAACUGACACUAAUGCACGAAAGCGUGGGGAUCAAACAGGAUUAGAUACCCUGGUAGUCCACGCUGUAAACGAUGAUCACUCGUUGUUGGCGAUAUACAGUCAGCGACUGAACGAAAGUAUUAAGUGAUCCACCUGGGGAGUACGAUCGCAAGGUUGAAACUCAAAGGAA